Molecule: ribosomal RNA, 403 nt
Filed under: uncultured prokaryote
Description: bacterial SSU rRNA
Rfam family: Bacterial small subunit ribosomal RNA
Source: RNAcentral
UAGGGAAUAUUGGUUAAUCUGCGAAAGCGGGAACCAGCAACGCCGCGUGCACGAUGAAGGCCUUCGGGUUGUAAAGUGCUUUUUGAAAGGAUGAGGAAGGACAGUACUUUCAGAAUAAGCUUCGGCUAACUACGUGCCAGCAGCCGCGGUAACACGUAGGAGGCAAACGUUAUCCGGAUUUACUGGGCGUAAAGCGCGUGUAGGUGGUUCUGUAAGUAGGGCGUGAAAGCUCCUGGCUCAACUGGGAGAGGCCGUUCUAAACUGCAGAGCUAGAGGAUGGUAGAGGGAGGUGGAAUUCCGGGUGUAGCGGUGGAAUGCGCAGAUAUCCGGAGGAACACCAGCGGCGCAGGCGGCUCACUAGACAGUUUCUGACGCUAAGAUACGAAAGCGUGGGGAGCAAACA